RNAcentral lists this long non-coding RNA (2540 nucleotides) under Homo sapiens (human). RNAcentral describes it as "non-protein coding lnc-PLK4-1:1". The record is from RNAcentral. Lineage: Eukaryota; Metazoa; Chordata; Mammalia; Primates; Hominidae.
UCACCUCUCUAAUUUAAAAUGCAUGAAAAUUAAUACUUUGUUUUUGUUUUUUUUUUGGAAACAGUCUCACUCUGUCACCCAGGCUGGAGGGCACAAUCUCUGCUCACUGCAACCUCCACCUCCUGGGCUCAAGCCUCAAGCAAUUCUCCUGCCUCAGCCUCCCAAGUAGCUGGGAUUACAGGAACCCACCACCACGCCCAGCUAAUUUUUGUAUUUUUAGUAGAUGGGGUUUCAUCAUGUUGGCCAGGCUGGUUUUGAACUCCUGACUUCAAAUGAUCCACCCACAUCCACCUGCCAGAGUGCUGAGAUUACAGGCGUGAGCCACCGCACCUGGCCAAUGUUCUUUUAUAUACUCAUGUUUUCUAACAAAACAGCUUUGGAUUUAUAAUGCUGCCAGAUGUCAUUACAAUUUUUUUUCUAAAUUCAAAGGUAAUUAUUCUAAACAAUAAAAGGGCACCUGGAAUUUUCAGAACAUUAAAAAACUGAAACCACUUAGAAGAAAAGAAGAAACCUAAAUGUCUGUGGAAGUGAUCAGUAUUAAGUGGGUGAUGGCUCUUUCAUCUUCCUUAUCCCUAAAGAUACUUCCAACAUAUUGUUAGAGUAAGUAUUAAAAGAAAAAGUAGGUUUGCUGAAAAACAUUACUAAAUGACUUGGAGCUCUCCAGUCAAAGAAACAAAGCUAAUUGAAAUAAUGUACAUUUGGUUCAGUCUGUCAGGCAAGUACAAAUCCAUAACAAAAAAAAUUAAUAGUAUGCUCUUUGCUUUGGAAUCUCUAAUUUACGGUCAUGCCCUAAGUCACAGGAUGAUUAUUAGGGAAAUGUCAUUGACACCUGAAAAUUACCUAUCCUGUAAAAAGACUGGUGAAAUUCAACAUGUUUUAAAUAAUUUAAUUGCAUUAUAGCAUAUAAACUAUAAAUGAAAAUGAUCUUUGUCUUUCCUUUAUCUUGCUUUAUCCUCUUAUCCAAUUCUAGACUCUUAAAUAAUCACUGUAUUUUUCUCAAGUAUUUGUUAUUUUUUAUUAUCCUUUAGAUCUUUUUGUUCAUGGCUCUUUAAAAAUAGUUUUACUGAUAAUCCAAUCACUUGGAUAGUUAAUUUUAUUACUUUUUGUUUCCUUUUUAAUAUUUAUUCUUCCCGUUAAGGGUUUUUUGGCUAUAAAUUCGUACUUGAUAAGCUAUGUUAUUUCUUUGUGUAAUUUAAUAGUAGCAUUCUGGAGUAGAUUCUUUUUUUGUAUUCUGGCCUUGGAAUACUUUAAUUCCGGACCAAAAGAGGUCAAUUUUGUGAGUAUUGCCUAUUAAGUAAACAACAUCCCUCAUUUUUAAUCCAAAUAUCAAUUUGACAGAAUAACAAGGGUCAGAAAUUCAAAAUAGCUGUUAGACACCUUUGAUUCUUUGCUGCUCUCUGGUUAUGUAUGUGUGUUGUGCAUCUUCCUUGUUGUUUUAGAGUUUCCUAAAUUUUUUGCUUCUGGGGACUUGAGUAUUUUUAAAUGUUCUUAAAAUUAUAUGAAUCUAAAAAAAAAAAAGUGUAAUUAGAAAUGGAAAUCUAGGUAAAGGAAGCUUUAAAAUGUUGUAUUUUUUCCCUGAAAUAAACUUUUAUGAUUUAAUGUCUUGGAAAAAGACUCACAUGAAAAGUGGCUUUUAUAUUUGGUAGGAUAAAGCCAUUGUCCUUUAAUACCAUAGCAAAUAGAAGCAAUUUUUAAUGAGGUUACUGAAUUGUUUAGUAUUCCUAAUAUGGCAUCCAGGUCAUCUUUUCUUUUCUCCAACCAUUAUUAAAAUAACUUGACACUUUGGGAGGCCAAGCUGGGCAGAUCACCUGAGGUCAGGAGUUUGAGACCAGCCUGGCCAACAUGGUGAAACCCCAUCUCUACUAAAAAAAAUACAAAAAUUAGCGGGGCCAUGGUGACGUGCACCUGUAAUCCCAGCUACUCGGGAGGCUGAGGUGGGAGAAUAGCUUGAACCUGGGAGGCAGAGGUUGUGGUGAGCCAAGAUCACGCCACUGCACUCCAGCCUGGGUGACAGAGCAAGACUCCAUCUCAAGAAAAAAAUAAAUAAAUAAUAAUUUGUGUAUGUGAUGACUGACUCUAGUCAUUAUGGAAAAUAACUUUUGGCAGUUUAGUUCCUAAUGUUAACAAUUCCUCUUUUUAAGAGAGGUACUACAUUUGAUUUCUCAAUUUCUCAGUUUGUUUUCAAUACAAACAGCAACCACUGAAAUGCAGAAAAUGGUAAUCAAGUGUGAUGUUUCUAUAAAAAUAAUUGAGAUUCACAUGUAAUAGACCCUUUAGCUUUAAUGAGCAGACAUGAGAAUGGUUUAUGAUCUUAAGUUGGUAACAUAGGAAUAUGUAUUUGUCAAUUUUAGUUCACAAACAUAUCCAUAAGAAUGUUUACACAUGGCAGUAUCAAAGCAUAUAAAAUAUUUUCUAUGUAAGUAAAUUGCAUCUUUAUGCUAGUGAACAAAGUAGCAAUAAAUGUUCAUUUUUGGAUGGCAGUACACAUUGUUAACAAUCGUGUAAUUAUAAUAAAUAUGUCUACCUACUCCUUGAACCAU